CAUGCAGUCGAGCGGACGUUUUUGAAGCUUGCUUCAAAAACGUUAGCGGCGGACGGGUGAGUAACACGUGGGCAACCUGCCUUAUCGACUGGGAUAACUCCGGGAAACCGGGGCUAAUACCGGAUAACAUCUAGCACUUCCUGGUGCAAGAUUAAAAGAGGGCCUUCGGGCUCUCACGAUGAGAUGGGCCCGCGGCGCAUUAGCUAGUUGGAGAGGUAAUGGCUCCCCAAGGCGACGAUGCGUAGCCGACCUGAGAGGGUGAUCGGCCACACUGGGACUGAGACACGGCCCAGACUCCUACGGGAGGCAGCAGUAGGGAAUCUUCCGCAAUGGACGAAAGUC
RNAcentral lists this ribosomal RNA (342 nucleotides) under Bacillus sp. UA-AR0201. RNAcentral describes it as "bacterial SSU rRNA". It matches the Rfam family "Bacterial small subunit ribosomal RNA", at positions 54 to 383 of the family's 1533-position model. The record is from RNAcentral. Lineage: Bacteria; Bacillati; Bacillota; Bacilli; Caryophanales; Bacillaceae.